AAUGAACGCUGGCGGCGUGCCUUAUACAUGCAAGUCGAACGCGAACGUAGACUUCGGUCUACUAGUAGAGUGGCGAACGGGUGAGUAACACGUGGGCAAUCUGCCCUAGAGUGGGGAACAACUUGAGGAAACUCGAGCUAAUACCGCAUACGUCCUUCUGGUCACGACCGGAAGGGGAAAGACAGCCUCUUCUUGAAAGCUGUCGCUCUUGGAGGAGCCCGCGCUCGAUUAGCUAGUUGGUGGGGUAACGGCCCACCAAGGCGACGAUCGAUAGCCGGCCUGAGAGGGUGAUCGGCCACACUGGAACUGAGACACGGUCCAG
RNAcentral lists this ribosomal RNA (322 nucleotides) under uncultured bacterium. RNAcentral's name for it is "bacterial SSU rRNA". It matches the Rfam family "Bacterial small subunit ribosomal RNA", at positions 29 to 334 of the family's 1533-position model. The record is from RNAcentral.